RNAcentral lists this unclassified non-coding RNA (470 nucleotides) under Hevea brasiliensis (rubber tree). Lineage: Eukaryota; Viridiplantae; Streptophyta; Magnoliopsida; Malpighiales; Euphorbiaceae. The record is from RNAcentral.
UGGUGGUGGAGAGCAACUUGAACGCAUCUAUGAGCGUUUGGAAGCUUUGGACGCAUCAACUGCUGAGAAGCGUGCAGCUGAAAUACUGUUCGGUCUUGGAUUUAACAAGAAAAUGCAAGAACAAAAAACACGAGAUUUUUCCGGUGGAUGGAGGAUGAGGAUUGCUCUUGCUCGUGCCCUGUUUAUGAAUCCGACCAUUUUGCUGCUUGAUGAACCCACCAAUCAUCUAGACCUAGAGGCUUGCGUGUGGUUAGAAGAAACCUUGAAGAAGUUUGACCGUAUUCUGGUUGUUGUUUCACACUCGCAAGACUUCCUAAAUGGUGUGUGUACUAACAUCAUCCAUAUGCAAAAUAAGACGUUGAAGCUCUACACUGGUAAUUAUGAUCAAUAUGUCCAAACCCGUGAGGAGUUGGAAGAAAAUCAGAUGAAACAGUACAGAUGGGAGCGGGAGCAGAUUGCUUCAAUGAAGG